UACGGAGGGGGCUAGCGUUGUUCGGAAUUACUGGGCGUAAAGAGCGCGCAGGCGGUCGUUCAAGUCGCGUGUGAAAGCCCCCGGCUCAACUGGGGAGGGUCACGCGAUACUGAUCGACUCGAAGGCAGGAGAGGGUAGUGGAAUUCCCGGUGUAGUGGUGAAAUGCGUAGAUAUCGGGAGGAACACCAGUGGCGAAGGCGGCUGCCUGGCCUGUUCUUGACGCUGAGGCGCGAAAGCUGGGGGAGCAAACGGG
RNAcentral lists this ribosomal RNA (253 nucleotides) under uncultured bacterium. Its description in RNAcentral is "partial 16S ribosomal RNA". It matches the Rfam family "Bacterial small subunit ribosomal RNA", at positions 524 to 776 of the family's 1533-position model. The record is from RNAcentral.